UCAGGCCACAACUAGCAAUUUCACAAUUCUCUAUUUAACAUCAGGCAAGCUGUAACUUUCAUCUUCGGGGAAAAACCCAAGAGGAACCAUGUGCUGCUGAUGCAUAGAUGAGGAUGAGCACAGAGUGAGGGUGGGUCAGGAGCAUGUGGAUGGAUGAAGGGAUGAGUGUGAAUGAAAGGUAUAUAUAUGUGUGAAUGGAAGGUAUAUGGAGCUUUGGCCCCACCCUCUGUUGGCAUGUCAACUCUGGAAGGUAACGUAUGGCAGGAAUGCAGUCCUCAGGCUGAAGAAGUCUCCCCACCCCUCAUUUAGAGGAUUUUGUAUCAGGGAUUAACUUAGUCAAAGGGUACUGAUUAUUUCUGGGAACAGAACCAUCUGAAGCAUCCGCCCGCUGUAAAUAAAGCAACAUUGCUCCCCCAUCUAUUCGUUGGGAUGUGAAGCGCAUGGUCUCAUAGAGAGAGGCAGUGUCAUCAACUGAAGUGCUGCCAAGUGCUCCCUUGACUUCCAGCAUUCCUGGAAGUGAAUAAGUUUUUCCUUCUCUUUACUGCCAUCGUGAGCCGCAAAGACAUUUGUUCUUUCCUUUGUUCUGGGUUAAGGGGGGGAACUAGCAGGAGACAAUGCAACAGCACGUUGCUAUGAACCACUGGGCGGAGAUACAACCAGUACAUGUGCGUUUGACUACUGUUCCAAGGAAGGGAUAUUUGGCAAAGCCCCGUUUGUAUCUUUGAAGGAUAUGCUAGUGAAUGAUUUGUUCUGAGAUCACCACCUACACAGCCAGGAUUUCUGUCUGUACACACAGGCGUGACUGGUUGGCCGUACAGCCCUGGAGCCUUGCCUCUUCUUCCUUCCUUCCCUGGGCAGUCUCCCUUCCUCUCAACCCAAAUGCCUCCAGGCUGCAUGUCAUUGACAAGCAGCAGUUACCUCAUGAAUCAGACACUCCCAUGCUCAGACCUUGGGCUCUUCCAAAGGAAAUUCCUCAGUGUGGAGCACAGGGGGGAUGUCUGACUCAGGGUGAUCCUGUGGGGUUUGGAAUGGACUAUGGGAAAGUAUCCCAGAGCACCUGCCAUGUUAAGCCAAUCCUAUUUUCACCCAAGUUAUGACAAACACCUAACAAAAAUGGCUUUUUUUUACUGAGAAAAAAGCCACAAAGGAAACCCCACCUCACAACCAAUAGACAAUGGUGACUGAGAGUAAAAUUCUCCUUUGGCCCAGAAAACCAGCCGCCAUUUGAAGCUUCAGUGAAGAGACUCUAAACUGAGAGAGGGUGAGUUGGGGAAGCUUGAUGAAGGGAAAGACCAUGACAAGCCCUUUUGAAAAGGCCAGCAUUCUACCCACAAGGCCACACAAGUGCAAGGCAAGGCCUUGUGAGAUCACACAAAAGACCAGGAGGGCCCCUUGCAAUUGGAGCUAGCAGCACCGUCCCACAAAUUGGUCCCCGGUGCACAAAAGAACACAGAACCAUGAGUUAAAAGUAUGAUGUGGAGGUGACCAUAGAGUCAGAAGGGGGCCUUGUAGGCCACCAAGUUCAUCUCCCUGCUUGAUACAGAACUGGAUCCUCUCCAACAGAUGACUGUCCAGCCUCUGCUUGAAGACCAGCUUGCAUUAGGGAAGCAGGAUUUCAAGUUUUGCAGAAUUUUGAUCCAGUUACAUACAUGAAGAUGGGAAAAGACUGGAGUAAACAUGGAUAUAAAAAUGAGAAUUUUCUUUAAGGUGAUUGCAGAUAUCUUGAGGUGGUUGGAGACUGCAGGCUAUUAGUUGACAAGGACCAUUAAAGACCCGGAUUUCCCAGGAUCAAGGAUGUCAGACUACCUAUUUCCUCCUAAGAUGCUUCCUGCAUUCUUGAGUGCUUUGGCCAGAGUAGAAACUUGGAAAGUGGCCUACCGGACAUGCCCUAAAUAUCUGAGAUUCCCCACCACCACCCCUCCAUUAAAAAGGUGAAAAUAGAACAAAUGGAUUCACCAUAUAAUCUUAAUCAGUAUUUUAAAAUAUGUAAUACUGUCCAAUAUGUAAAACUAGUUGUACAAAUGUGCACACAUGUAAGCCAGCAAUUAAAAUCUGGCUAAAAUUUCUGAAAGUUGUAUUAUCUUUUUCUGUCACAGUAGGAAUCAGUAUGUGGGGUUCACCUGACUCCUUCUCAUGCAAUGAGACUUGUACCCUUUUCUUCACCCCAUGUACACACUGAUAUUGGCUCUGGGCAGGUCAGGAGAACCCCCAAAACAAAGUGUUAAAGCUUAGAGAAGAUUUCCCUGUAAGCUGAAAUGCUUGAGCUGUCAGAACGAUCAACUUAAUGCAAUGCUGAGUUCCUCCCAGUGACUAUUGAAAGUUGCCCAAAAAAGAUAUUUGCUGCACAAUGAACUGUUUUCGCCAUAAUUAUUGUUCAGCAUCUGGGACUGGCUCUGAUGUGCAGGUGCUAAUUUGAGGGAUAGUCCCGGUUCUCUCUCAGUCAUCUUCUUGCGACUAACCAGAAAAGGGGUGUUCUUUUUCACACAAAGCAUCUACAGCGUUUGAGGAAUGGCAAGGCUGUGAGAAGGUCCUAAGCAGCCAGGAAAGCUGAUAACCACUGGUUACGCUAAUCAUCCAAAUGUCACCUUGGUCACAUUUCAAAGUGGAGACUGGGCCAAAAAUACAAGAGGCAGAAAAGCAUUUUGAGGCUCUUCCCGCAGUCAGUUCCAAAAUAGAGGAGGAGGUGUGUUUGUGGGUGUGUGGAAGAGGAAGGUGUCUUUGUUGCUUUGGGUAUCAUGGUAAUCAGAGUUUGUGGGAGUCAGGUUUGUGGUAGUCUUGGCUGUGCCAAAAAAAUAAUUUAAUCUUAGGAAAAUAUUUUUUUAUACCAAUAGGGACAUCUGAGGCUCGUUUCUUUCCACAUUCCACUUUGAUUGUUUUGGAUAUCUAUACAGAGGUCUUUGCCGUUGAGGGUGCCCACUCUGAUACACAGAAGGUCAGUCAGUCAGGGUAUAAAUAGCCAAGCCUACCUCACAGGGAUGCUGUGAGGAUGAAAUCGGGGUGGAGAACCAUUUAUGCUAUCUUGAGCUUCUUGGUGGUGAGACAUAAAUGGCAUAAGUAAUUAAGAAGGUCUCUAGUUCUAUCAAAGCAUCAGAUUUUUGUCUUACAAAGACCUUUUGAAUCCACACACCAUCAGAAUCUGAAUUUUCAAAACUGGGAGCUCAUCCCAUUUGACCCUCCCCACGCCAGUUCAGCUGUAGUCCAAUUUGUUGGUGGGAAAUGUGGACAGAGUAGAAUCCAAUGGCAAUAUACAACCCCUGUAUAAUACCUGAAUUGCCAUUUAAUCUCCAUAAUGUGUUUGUGAUGCAGAUUGUAGGGCCAUAACUAUUAUCUGCUAUGUAGCCACUGACCUCUGAGGAUAUCUGUGAAGAUGAAGAUUUGAUACAUACAUGUGUAUACUUGCAAAUAUACAUGCACUUACACAAUGGAGUGGCAAUGCCAAUUGCCAAAAACAGGUAGCUUGAAAGUAAACAGCAAAUGCAAUUCCAAAACGAUGAGUUGACAUGUUAUUCCCUGAACAUACGUGAACUCCAGCGGAAUGCAAGCUCAGUCAUAACUGAAUCCAGUAUAAACAGCUUUGUAUAAUCCCACUGGGGAAAGCUUUGGCUUGAUAGGAGACAUAAGCAACUGCUUACCUGGUGUGUUUUAGUCAUCCCUCCCACCAAAGGCUCCAUAAGGAAUUGUCACUGUGGCUGAAGUUUUGGAAUAAGGCAUCAAGCUUAGGCAGUAAUGUGAUACUCUGUCAACAGAGGAGAAGGCCAUCGUUUGAAUUCCCGGUGAAGAUUUGUACUCAUGAUCUAAGCUCCAUCCUGGAUAUUUGAAAAUUGAACUUUACACUUUCAGGAAAGGAACAGCCAACCUAAGCCAAAGAGCCAUCAUAUGAAUUGAACCCAAAUGUUAACAGGGCAACCUCAGGUUUCUGCAAUUUCCUCUGUGACAAGGUAAGAAGACAACAUGUUGCAGUUGGGUUGAUUCCGACAUCAUGACACUAAGGUUGGUUAUGCACAAACCUGUUGGUUGCACGGAAAAUGUAGUUUUUCCUCAGUCAGGAAUCAUUCAUGCUGAACAUGCUGUUUUCCAUCUAGAUUGAUUCUAGACAGGGGUGGAGGAAGGGGGUGUGGUGGGGGCGGGCCACCCUGGGUGUCACUACUGAGGGGGGUGAUAAAAUGGUGGGCGGCAUUCACCAUGGGGCCUGCUGUGUGGCCGAGCCACGCGUUUCUCCUGGGAGUGAAGCGGUGGCUUGGCGCCCACAGGCUCCGCACUGCCCCAAACGGGGCAGUGUCUCCCCCUCAGCUGCCUCCCCCUCAGCUGUAGGACAGACUCUUCAGAGGCCCCGCAGAGCGUCCUGCCCUGGCUUGCCCCGUCCCGUGGGUGGUUGGCCCCGCCCCUGGGCACAGGAUACGCACACCUCCCCAGGUGCCCAAUCAGCUUGCUCCACCACUGAUUCUAGAUCCUGCGAUCCAUAAGGGUGUUAGGGCUGAGUGAUGUCCGGUUUUCAACAUCAUGAUAUAUCACCAGCUAAACAUCACAAUAUACCAAUAUAUGACAAUGUCUGAAAUCAGGAUGGAACUGUGUGGAAGCGAAUGGGGCAAUGUCCUGACAACUGCUACUACCCAGGAGUCUAAAACAGAGAUAUUUUUACUUACAUUUAACAUAUUGUUCCAACUGUUAUUUUAUAGUAUAGAGCAACAGAGAUGGCAGGAAUCAUAAGAGAAUCAUGAUUUUCCCCCCACGUCAUGAUUUUUUACAUAGCACACACAAACACAUUGUGAUUUGCAAUAUAUCGCCAUGCCAAAUAUUAUGAAACUGUUACCAUGAUGUGGACUUCAAACCAAUUUUGGAUGAUAUAUCACCCAGCCCUAAAUGUUAGUUUUUCUCAAUUUGGGAUCACUCAUGCUUGGUACAGAAGGACCACCCUCCCUGUUUUUUCAGGAUGUAUAAGAAGCUUCUGCGAAAGAGUCUAGGUGUCAGACAGGAAGUAAGGACUAUGGUCACAUCUUCACCUCCCCCCCAAAAAAAACCCAGACUCCUGGUGAUGUUGAUGAUGAUAAUUUUAUUAUUUAUACCCUACCCAACUGGCUGUAGUUUGUUAAGGUGGCUGGGAAUUGUAGUUCUGUUCCCAGUUCUGUUCCCAGGAUUCUUUGAGAGAAACCAUGUGCUUUAAAUAUAUUGUGUGGCUGUGUUGCGGACCUUCCAGUAGGAAAAAUGGGUACAGGGUCUGCAAAAACAGAUUCCCCCACCCACUGACUCUAGGCCCGAUAGGUACACACAGAGUGUCCUCAUUACAUAAAAAGGAAAAGCUGCUUAUUUUGAGGGAAGGGAACAAUAUUCUGUGUAUACGUAAGUUUAAGAAUUAAUGGGAUAAUUGCAUUUUUUAAAAAAAAACCUCUCCCACUAUGAAAAGCUGGGCCACCAUGUCUCCUGUGAGUAUCAAAGAUGUCUGGAAAGCUACUCUAGGGAUGCACAGUUCCUGUCUGCAUUUGUAGGAAGCCUCUCUCUCGGCCACAGAUGAAGUCGAUGAAGUCCUUCAUUCAAUACAGAUAUAUUUUUAGAAUUGUGAGCAAAGAAGAGGGUCGUGCUGUUGACAGAUGCAACCUUGCCUCAGCUCCGAAGC
This is a non-coding RNA of Podarcis lilfordi (Lilford's wall lizard), 5611 nucleotides long. NCBI's taxonomy places the organism in Eukaryota, Metazoa, Chordata, Lepidosauria, Squamata, Lacertidae. The record is from the annotation of a GenBank genome assembly.